GCAGAGGGCUCUACUACUAACGCCUGGAUAACCGCGCUGAUUCGAAUGCAGGAGCUUUACUGUUUAGCCCUUAUCUUUAUACAUCCAUGGUUUAUCCACAGUUGUAAGGUUUAUUUAUGGAUAUUGAUUUAAGAGCCAUUGGAGAUCAUUUACGAUCAUUAGCGGACCAUUUAGAGAAUGGAGAACCAAAAGACUAUGUCCAGUUUCGUGUGGAACGAUGUAUAGAGGACUUGGCUCAGCUCGACAUGGAUGUGGAUGUUAACCCAGCUGUGUUUGAGAGUCUUCAAGAGGUUGCCCGCCAACUUGAAAUCCUCUCGGAAACAGAGGAGGCGACCCUUGGGCGUCCAUCUUACAUGUUGCCCCUAAACGUUAUUGAAGCACAUCUUCGUUGGGGCCACACCGCUGGGGACAUCGCGCAGGUGUUCGGGGUGUGCGAAAGAACAAUUCGUCGGAGGAUGACACAGAACGGGAUACGGGUCCAAGAUCUAUUAACUCUGUUAGAUGGCAACAGUUUGGAUGAAACUGUUACCCAAAUUCUACAGCAUCAUCCCAACUCUGGAUACAAAAUGAUGGUGGGGUACCUGAAUGCACAGGGACACGCAUACAAAGACAGCGUGUCCAGGAAUCCAUGCGGCGUGUUGAUCCAGGUGGAGUUUUGAUUCGCACUCUGCAGCUGAACCCAAGAAGGCGUAGGAAGUACUUUGUACCAGCACCGAACAGUUUAUGGCACAUCGACGGAAAUCACAAACUGAUUAGGUGGCGUUUUGUUGUGCAUGGUGGUAUUGACGGCUUUAGUCGUCUCAUCGUGUACUUGAGUGCUGCCACCAACAAUCGGGCAGCAACAGUUUUAAGAAGCUUUUUGGAAGCCGCCAAUGUCUACGGUGUGCCAUCACGUGUGAGGUCAGAUAAAGGUGGAGAAAAUGUUGACGUUGCACGCUACAUGGUGGCAAACCGAGGAGAGAACAGGAAUUCACACAUUGCUGGCAGGACUGUCCAUAAUCAAAGGAUAGAAAGGCUCUGGAGAGACGUUUAUGUAGGAGUGCUGGAUCUCUUCUACACAAUGUUUUUCAACCUAGAGAGAGAAGGCCUUCUCAAUCCUGACUGUGAAGUGCAUCUCUAUGCUCUGCACUGGUGCUUUGUGCCCCACAUACAGAAGCACCUGCAGUUUUUCCAGCAAGGCUGGAACUGCCACCGACUAAGCACUGAGGGAAACCGGUCCCCACUGCAACUGUGGACUCGCCAUGAGCGUGAGGCCCAGCAGGAACAUAUACAGGCUUGAUUGUUGACAUUGAGUUUGGAGUUGACUGGACUGGACCAUGUGCUCAUCGCCUGCCUCAUGUUAUGGUUCCUGAAGUUCAGCUGCAACGUUCACUGACUGACCAGGAAGUGGAAAGACUUCCAGACCCUGAUGGCCCUCUGUCCAAUGUGUGGAAUGUCUAUGUACAAACUGUGGGCUUAUUGACUGAAAUGCUACAGUAAAUGUGUGUGUGUAUCAAAAGUCUGUUGCUGUGGGAAAUGUAGUCUUUUAAAGUUUCGACUAGGACGAUUAGGUUACAAUAUUUGACUGAGUUACAUGAAGACGCUGGUACCAAGAUUCAGUAUAUUUCGAUUUUAAUACAAUAAAAAUUAGAUGGUAAUGAAGUUA
Gymnodraco acuticeps is the source of this 1645-nucleotide RNA transcript. RefSeq lists it as uncharacterized. Lineage: Eukaryota; Metazoa; Chordata; Actinopteri; Perciformes; Bathydraconidae. The transcript has 6 exons. The record is from RefSeq and is a predicted model, not a curated record.